CUGCAUUGGCAGGAACUAAUGGGGAUCUAUAAUAAACUCCAGGGAGUGUAGAUGCUGGGCCAAACGAGACCUUGAGCUUCGGUUUGGUACUUUUCCCUGUUGAAAUAAAUUAUAAACCAAUUACUUGUUACGGUGUUUGCAUUCAAGGUCAGGAUUAUAUAUAAAGGUAUCAGCAUACAGCAGUAAAUUCACUUGAAAGUGCUACCCAGAGUGCAUGAUAUUCGGGGGUUUCUAUUUUCUUUAACAGGACCUUGCAUACACACAAAACAUUUAAUGGGCUUUACAGUAAAGACAUGUAAUUUAACUGUACAAAUGUAUGACCUUUGAAUGUGUCUUGAACACAACCAGUCAAGAUGUUUUCAUCUAACUGUUAAACAAAUCAAUUCAUAAAGUAGGUACAGUAAGUUACCUGUAGUAGGUACAGUAGGUUACCUGUAGUAGGUACAGUAGGCUACCUGUAGUUGGUACAGUAGGCUACCUGUAGUAGGUACAGUAGGCUACCUGUAGUUGGUACAGUAGGCUACCUGUAGUAGGUACAGCAGGCUACCUGUAGUAGGUACAGUAGGCUACCUGUAGUAGGUACAGCAGGCUACCUGUAGAAGGUACAGUAGGUUACUUGUAGUAGGUAUAUUAGGCUACCUGUAGUAGGUACAGUAGGUUACCUGUAGUAGGUACAGUGGGCUACCUGUAGUAGGUACAGCAG
This 703-nucleotide long non-coding RNA is filed under the name Salmo salar (Atlantic salmon). RNAcentral's name for it is "lncRNA (ENSSSAG00000114368.1)". Lineage: Eukaryota; Metazoa; Chordata; Actinopteri; Salmoniformes; Salmonidae. The record is from RNAcentral.